AGUGAACGCUGGCGGUAGGCCUAACACAUGCAAGUCGAACGGCAGCACAGUAAGAGCUUGCUCUUACGGGUGGCGAGUGGCGGACGGGUGAGGAAUACAUCGGAAUCUACUUUUUCGUGGGGGAUAACGUAGGGAAACUUACGCCAAUACCGCAUACGACCUACGGGUGAAAGCAGGGGAUCUUCGGACCUUGCGCGAUUGAAUGAGCCGAUGUCGGAUUAGCUAGUUGGCGGGGUAAAGGCCCACCAAGGCGACGAUCCGUAGCUGGUCUGAGAGGGUGAUCAGCCACACUGGAACUGAGACACGGUCCAGACUCCUACGGGAGGCAGCAGUGGGGAAUAUUGGACAAUGGGCGCAAGCCUGAUCCAGCCAUACCGCGUGUGUGAAGAAGGCCUUCGGGUUGUAAAGCCCUUUUGUUGGGAAAGAAAAGCAGCAGGUUAAUACCCCGCUGUUCUGACGGUACCCAAAGAAUAAGCACCGGCUAACUUCGUG
This 492-nucleotide ribosomal RNA is filed under the name uncultured bacterium. RNAcentral describes it as "partial 16S ribosomal RNA". It matches the Rfam family "Bacterial small subunit ribosomal RNA", at positions 29 to 507 of the family's 1533-position model. The record is from RNAcentral.